UACCUACGGGAGGCAGCAGUGAGGAAUAUCGGUCAAUGGGCGGAAGCCUGAACCAGCCAAGUCGCGUGAGGGAUUAAGGCCCUAUGGGUCGUAAACCUCUUUUGUCAGGGAGCAAGGUCGUCCACGUGUGGGCGUAUGGAGAGUACCUGAAGAAAAAGCAUCGGCUAACUCCGUGCCAGCAGCCGCGGUAAUACGGAGGAUGCGAGCGUUAUCCGGAUUUAUUGGGUUUAAAGGGUGCGUAGGCGGAGUGUCAAGUCAGCGGUAAAAUUUCGGGGCUCAACCCCGUCGUGCCGUUGAAACUGACG
RNAcentral lists this ribosomal RNA (305 nucleotides) under uncultured bacterium. RNAcentral's name for it is "bacterial SSU rRNA". It matches the Rfam family "Bacterial small subunit ribosomal RNA", at positions 335 to 638 of the family's 1533-position model. The record is from RNAcentral.